Molecule: ribosomal RNA, 467 nt
Filed under: Neisseria flava
Lineage: Bacteria; Pseudomonadati; Pseudomonadota; Betaproteobacteria; Neisseriales; Neisseriaceae
Description: bacterial SSU rRNA
Rfam family: Bacterial small subunit ribosomal RNA
Source: RNAcentral
AUUGAACGCUGGCGGCAUGCUUUACACAUGCAAGUCGGACGGCAGCACAGAGAAGCUUGCUUCUUGGGUGGCGAGUGGCGAACGGGUGAGUAACAUAUCGGAACGUACCGAGCAGUGGGGGAUAACUAAUCGAAAGAUUAGCUAAUACCGCAUAUUUUUGAGGAAGAAAGCAGGGGACCAUUUGGCCUUGCGCUGUUUGAGCGGCCGAUAUCUGAUUAGCUAGUUGGUGGGGUAAAGGCUUACCAAGGCGACGAUCAGUAGCGGGUCUGAGAGGAUGAUCCGCCACACUGGGACUGAGACACGGCCCAGACUCCUACGGGAGGCAGCAGUGGGGAAUUUUGGACAAUGGGCGCAAGCCUGAUCCAGCCAUGCCGCGUGUCUGAAGAAGGCCUUCGGGUUGUAAAGGACUUUUGUCAGGGAAGAAAAGGGCGGGGUUAAUACCCCUGUCUGAUGACGGACCUGAAGAA